This 79-nucleotide small RNA is filed under the name Sinorhizobium meliloti 2011. RNAcentral's name for it is "putative ncRNA". The record is from RNAcentral. Lineage: Bacteria; Pseudomonadati; Pseudomonadota; Alphaproteobacteria; Hyphomicrobiales; Rhizobiaceae.
GCGCGUUGGGAACGCCGAGAUCAGGGCAAGCCCACCCCGUAAUCUGCGACAAGCCGGUCGGCGUCAUCGGCGUGUUCAG